AUUGAACGCUGGCGGCAGGCCUAACACAUGCAAGUCGAGCGGAUGAAGGGAGCUUGCUCCUGGAUUCAGCGGCGGACGGGUGAGUAAUGCCUAGGAAUCUGCCUGGUAGUGGGGGAUAACGUCCGGAAACGGGCGCUAAUACCGCAUACGUCCUGAGGGAGAAAGUGGGGGAUCUUCGGAACUCACGCUAUGAGAUGAGCCUAGGUCGGAUUAGCUAGUUGGUGGGGUAAAGGCCUACCAAGGCGACGAUCCGUAACUGGUCUGAGAGGAUGAUCAGUCACACUGGAACUGAGACACGGUCCAGACUCCUACGGGAGGCAGCAGUGGGGAAUAUUGGACAAUGGGCGAAAGCCUGAUCCAGCCAUGCCGCGUGUGUGAAGAAGGUCUUCGGAUUGUAAAGCACUUUAAGUUGGGAGGAAGGGCAGUAAGUUAAUACCUUGCUGUUUUGACGUUACCAACAGAAUAAGCACCGGCUAACUUCGUG
This 484-nucleotide ribosomal RNA is filed under the name uncultured bacterium. Its description in RNAcentral is "partial 16S ribosomal RNA". It matches the Rfam family "Bacterial small subunit ribosomal RNA", at positions 30 to 507 of the family's 1533-position model. The record is from RNAcentral.